Caretta caretta (loggerhead turtle) is the source of this 1243-nucleotide long non-coding RNA. RefSeq lists it as uncharacterized. The record is from RefSeq and is a predicted model, not a curated record. Lineage: Eukaryota; Metazoa; Chordata; Testudines; Cheloniidae.
CCUGCCCGGGGUUUGGGGCGGGCCAGCCUGUGACGCUCAGGAGCCUGCCGGGAGAGGCGGAGUCUUCUCAGUCAGGAGGGGGAACACUGAGGUGGGCAGGUCCUUGUAGAGCCAGGAAGGGAGCUGGGGCACGGCGCUCAGGACCGUGACUGGAUGGGAGCCGGUUAGGCACCGUUUGAACUCCCCCCACCCCGUUGCCCCAUCAGGGCUCGCACCGUCCCCGAGAGAUAGGCCCGGUGGCCGCAGGCAGAGAUGGGCGCAGAACACUGCCCCAGCCACUGGAAUCCGCUACUAGUAAAGAGUUGCAUAGCCCAUGGGCUCUCACUGUCCUUUACUGGCUGGGGCCCGUGGAAGACAACUGCUAGUAAAAGUCCUGGGUUCAAACCCUGCUGAAGAUCGAUGUGGGUGAGCAGGAUCAUUGGCUUUCAUCUGAUGCUCCAGAGAGUGACGAACAGCAGCCUUGAAAUCAGCAACUUUUCCAUUUUCGACAGGAGCUUUGCUUCUGAGGUGCAGACAUCUUCAUCUUUUAUACUGACAGAGCAGAAGGACCUAAGAUGAGUCAGAGGGAUUUUGGUGUGAAAGCGUAACAACAACCUGAAAAUUGCUGAGGGUGUCAACAGCCCACUUACUCAUCUUUCCAAAUGUUGUUUGUACUGUUAGCUAACUAUUGCAAGCCGCUUUGGAUAAAAGUGCUAUAUAAAAAAACCCUUUAUUUUUGUUCUACAAAUAAAAGCACAUAACUUAUUUUAAUAUCAGUAGUCUUACCUUUCUAAUGUGAUGGAUGUGCCCUCUCUUCCCUGCCGUGGCAGCCCCCAAGCUGGGGCUGGGAAGGAGGGGAAGGGUCUCUCCUGCCACAGCAGUCACUAGGCUGGGAAGCCACUGUGCUGCCGCAGUAGCCCCUGAGCUGGGGCUGGGAAGGAGGGCCGUCUCUCCCUGGCAGCUGCAGUCCUGAAGAUGGGGAAAGUCACCUCUUUCUCUGGCCACUGCAGCCCUGCACGUCCCAAAUUCCCCCCACCCCCUCUUCUCACCCCAGUCCCCUCCUACCUAUCCCCUAUUCCCCACAAGGCCACCACCUCAUCUUAUAUGUGAGUCUUCUCCAGGAUACAGGCACCUAAUUAGUGGAACCACACCUGCACGGCUCCACUAAUUAGGUGGGUGGCCCUUCAUUCUCUUGUGUGCGCCCAGGCACGCACCUUAGAGGGAAUUAGCCGUGGACCACCUGAAUGGAGCUCACGGACCACAG